This is a small nuclear RNA of Meriones unguiculatus (Mongolian gerbil), 103 nucleotides long. The record is from RefSeq and is a predicted model, not a curated record. NCBI's taxonomy places the organism in Eukaryota, Metazoa, Chordata, Mammalia, Rodentia, Muridae.
AUGCUCACUGUGCAGCAUAUAUAAUAAAAUUGAGACGAUACAGAGAUUAGCAUGUCUCUUGCUCAAGGAUGACAUGUAAAUUCAGGAAGCAUUAAAAAUAAAA